UCGAACGCGAAAGUCCCCUUCGGGGGACAAGUAGAGUGGCGCACGGGUGAGUAACACGUAGGUAAUCUACCUUCGGGUGGGGAAUAACAAUCGGAAACGGUUGCUAAUACCGCAUAAUGCAGCGGCACCUAAUGGUGACAGUUGUUAAAGCGGGGGAUCGAAAGAUCUCGCGCCUGAAGAGGAGCCUGCGGCGGAUUAGCUAGUUGGUAGGGUAAUGGCCUACCAAGGCGACGAUCCGUAGCCGGCCUGAGAGGGCGGUCGGCCACACUGACACUGACAUACGGGUCAGACUCCUACGGGAGGCAGCAGUCGGGAAUUUUGGGCAAUGGGCGAAAGCCUGACCCAGCAACGCCGCGUGAAGGAUGAAAUCCCUCGGGAUGUAGACUUCGCAAGAACGGGAAGAAUUAGUGGAAGUUAAUACCUUCCAUGAUGACGGUACCGUUUGUAAGCUCCGGCUAACUCCGUGCCAGCAGCCGCGGUAAUACGGGGGGAGCAAGCGUUGUUCGGAUUUACUGGGCGUAAAGGGCGCGUAGGCGGCCUCCGCAAGUCAGUUGUGAAAUCUCCGAGCUUAACUCGGAAAGGUCAACUGAUACUGCGGGGCUAGAGUGCGGAAGGGGCAACUGGAAUUCUUGGUGUAGCGGUGAAAUGCGUAGAUAUCAAGAGGAACACCUGCGGCGAAGGCGGGUUGCUGGGCCGACACUGACGCUGAGGCGCGAAAGCUAGGGGAGCGAACGGGAUUAGAUACCCCGGUAGUCCUAGCCUUAAACGAUGAAUGCUUGGUGU
Molecule: ribosomal RNA, 783 nt
Filed under: uncultured Actinomycetes bacterium
Lineage: Bacteria; Bacillati; Actinomycetota; Actinomycetes
Description: bacterial SSU rRNA
Rfam family: Bacterial small subunit ribosomal RNA
Source: RNAcentral